RNAcentral lists this long non-coding RNA (239 nucleotides) under Gossypium barbadense (sea-island cotton). RNAcentral describes it as "long non-coding RNA (GBAR_LNC005371)". Lineage: Eukaryota; Viridiplantae; Streptophyta; Magnoliopsida; Malvales; Malvaceae. The record is from RNAcentral.
UCAAUGGUCCUCCUACAUAGUGAAAAAUAAUAUAUUAAUUAAUAAAAAUGAAAUAAUAUAAAAUAUGUACAGAAAUCAUGUAAUUAAGCACAAUUUCACAUACUUUAUAAAUUCAUACCCAAUAUUACUGAUUAAGUAAAAUUCACUUAUUUUAAUAACAAUUACUCAAGAAAAACAUAUUUAUUAAGUAAAAAUGUGGUAAAAAUAUAUAGAAAAACCCUAUAUAAUUUCAAGUUUAC